AACGAACGCUGGCGGCAUGCCUAACACAUGCAAGUCGAACGAGACCUUCGGGUCUAGUGGCGCGCGGGUGCGUAACGCGUGGGAAUCUGCCCUUGGGUUCGGAAUAACAGCGAGAAAUUGCUGCUAAUACCGGAUGAUGACGUAAGUCCAAAGAUUUAUCGCCCAAGGAUGAGCCCGCGUAGGAUUAGCUAGUUGGUGAGGUAAAGGCUCACCAAGGCGACGAUCCUUAGCUGGUCUGAGAGGAUGAUCAGCCACACUGGGACUGAGACACGGCCCAGACUCCUACGGGAGGCAGCAGUGGGGAAUAUUGGACAAUGGGCGAAAGCCUGAUCCAGCAAUGCCGCGUGAGUGAUGAAGGCCUUAGGGUUGUAAAGCUCUUUUACCCGGGAUGAUAAUGACAGUACCGGGAGAAUAAGCUCCGGCUAACUCCGUGCCAGCAGCCGCGGUAAU
RNAcentral lists this ribosomal RNA (450 nucleotides) under uncultured bacterium. RNAcentral's name for it is "bacterial SSU rRNA". It matches the Rfam family "Bacterial small subunit ribosomal RNA", at positions 29 to 524 of the family's 1533-position model. The record is from RNAcentral.